Molecule: long non-coding RNA, 4998 nt
Organism: Oncorhynchus keta (chum salmon)
Lineage: Eukaryota; Metazoa; Chordata; Actinopteri; Salmoniformes; Salmonidae
Exons: 2
Source: RefSeq, a predicted model, not a curated record
UGGUUUCCACCAUAAAUGUAUUGUUUACUGAGUGUGCUGGUGGUCUCCAACAUACAUGUAUUGUUUACUGAGUGUGCUGGUGGUCUCCAACAUAAAUGUAUUGUUUACAGACUGUGUUGGUGGUCUCCACCAUAAAUGUAUUGUUUACUGAGUGUCCUGGUGGUCUCCACCAUAAAUGUAUUGUUUACUGAGUGUGCUGGUUGUCUCCACCAUAAAUGUAUUGUUUACUGAGUAUGCUGGUGGUCUCCAACAUAAAUGUAUUGUUUACAGACUGUGCUGGUGGUCUCCACCUUAAAUGUAUUGUUUACUGAGUGUGCUAGUGGCCUCCACCUUAAAUGUAUUGUUUACUGAGUGUGCUGGUGGUCUCCAACAUAAAUGUAUUGUUUACUGAGUGUGCUGGUGGUCUCGAACAUAAAUGUAUUGUUUACUGAGUGUGCUGGUGGUCUCCACCAUAAAUGUUUUGUUCACGGAGUGUGUUGGUGGCCUCCACGAAAAAAUUUAUUGUUUACUGAAUGUGCUGGUGGUCUCCACCAUAACUGUAUUGUUUACUGAGUGUGCUGGUGGUCUCCACCAUAAAUGUAUUGUUUACUGAAUGUGCUGGUGGUCUCCACCAUAAAUGUAUUGUUUACUGAGUGUGCUGGUGGCCUCCAACAUAAAUGUAUUGUUUACUGAGUGUGCUGGUGGUCUCCACCAUAAAUGUAUUGUUUACGGAGUGUGUUGGUGGUCUCCAACAUAAAUGUAUUGUUUACUGAGUGUGCUGGUGGUCUCCAACAUAAAUGUAUUGUUUACUGAAUGUGCUGGUGGUCUCCACCAUAAAUGUAUUGUUUACUGAGUAAGCUGGUUGUCUCGAACAUGAAUGUAUUGUUUACUGAGUGUGCUGGUGGUCUCCACCAUAACUGUAUUGUUUUCUGAAUGUGCUGGUGGUUUCCACCAUAAAUGUAUUGUUUACUGAGUGUGUUGGUGGUCUCCAACAUAAAUGUAUUGUUUACUGAGUGUGCAGGUGGUCUCCAACAUAAAUGUAUUGUUUACUGAAUGUGCUGGUGGUCUCCACCAUAAAUGUAUUGUUUACUGAGUAAGCUGGUUGUCUCGAACAUGAAUGUAUUGUUUACUGAGUGUGCUGGUGGUCUCCACCAUAACUGUAUUGUUUUCUGAAUGUGCUGGUGGUUUCCACCAUAAAUGUAUUGUUUACUGAGUGUGCUGGUGGCCUCCAACAUACAUGUAUUGUUUACUGAGUGUGCUGGUGGUCUCCAACAUAAAUGUAUUGUUUACAGACUGUGUUGGUGGUCUCCACCAUAAAUGUAUUGUUUACGGAGUGUGUUGGUGGUCUCCAACAUAAAUGUAUUGUUUACUGAGUGUGCUGGUGGUCUCCAACAUAAAUGUAUUGUUUACUGAGUGUGCUGGUGGUCUCCACCAUAAAUGUAUUGUUUACGGGGUGUGUUGGUGGUCUCCAACAUAAAUGUAUUGUUUACUGAGUGUGCUGGUGGUCUCCAACAUAAAUGUAUUGUUUACUGAAUGUGCUGGUGGACUCCACCAUAAAUGUAUUGUUUACUGAGUAAGCUGGUUGUCUCGAACAUGAAUGUAUUGUUUACUGAGUGUGCUGGUGGUCUCCACCAUAACUGUAUUGUUUUCUGAAUGUGCUGGUGGUUUCCACCAUAAAUGUAUUGUUUACUGAGUGUGCUGGUGGUCUCCAACAUACAUGUAUUGUUUACUGAGUGUGCUGGUGGUCUCCAACAUAAAUGUAUUGUUUACAGACUGUGUUGGUGGUCUCCACCAUAAAUGUAUUGUUUACUGAGUGUCCUGGUGGUCUCCACCAUGAAUGUAUUGUUUACUGAGUGUGCUGGUUGUCUCCACCAUAAAUGUAUUGUUUACUGAGUAUGCUGGUGGUCUCCAACAUAAAUGUAUUGUUUACAGACUGUGCUGGUGGUCUCCACCUUAAAUGUAUUGUUUACUGAGUGUGCUAGUGGCCUCCACCUUAAAUGUAUUGUUUACUGAGUGUGCUGGUGGUCUCCAACAUAAAUGUAUUGUUUACUGAGUGUGCUGGUGGUCUCGAACAUAAAUGUAUUGUUUACUGAGUGUGCUGGUGGUCUCCACCAUAAAUGUUUUGUUUACGGAGUGUGUUGGUGGCCUCCACGAAAAAAUGUAUUGUUUACUGAAUGUGCUGGUGGUCUCCACCAUAACUGUAUUGUUUACUGAGUGUGCUGGUGGUCUCCACCAUAAAUGUAUUGUUUACUGAAUGUGCUGGUGGUCUCCACCAUAAAUGUAUUGUUUACUGAGUGUGCUGGUGGCCUCCAACAUAAAUGUAUUGUUUACUGAGUGUGCUGGUGGUCUCCACCAUAAAUGUAUUGUUUACAGAGUGUGUUGGUGGUCUCCAACAUAAAUGUAUUGUUUACUGAGUGUGCUGGUGGUCUCCAACAUAAAUGUAUUGUUUACUGAAUGUGCUGGUGGUCUCCACCAUAAAUGUAUUGUUUACUGAGUAAGCUGGUUGUCUCGAACAUGAAUGUAUUGUUUACUGAGUGUGCUGGUGGUCUCCACCAUAACUGUAUUGUUUACUGAGUAAGCUGGUUGUCUCGAACAUGAAUGUAUUGUUUACUGAGUGUGCUGGUGGUCUCCACCAUAACUGUGUUGUUUUCUGAAUGUGCUGGUGGUUUCCACCAUAAAUGUAUUGUUUACUGAGUGUGCUGGUGGUCUCCAACAUACAUGUAUUGUUUACUGAGUGUGCUGGUGGUCUCCAACAUAAAUGUAUUGUUUACAGACUGUGUUGGUGGUCUCCACCAUAAAUGUAUUGUUUACUGAGUGUCCUGGUGGUCUCCACCAUAAAUGUAUUGUUUACUGAGUGUGCUGGUUGUCUCCACCAUAAAUGUAUUGUUUACUGAGUAUGCUGGUGGUCUCCAACAUAAAUGUAUUGUUUACUGAGUGUGCUGGUGGUCUCGAACAUAAAUUUAUUGUUUACUGAGUGUGCUGGUGGUCUCAACCAUAAAUGUUUUGUUUACGGAGUGUGUUGGUGGCCUCCACGAAAAAAUGUAUUGUUUACUGAGUGUGCUGGUGGUCUCCACCAUAUCUUUAUUGUUUACUGAGUGUGCUGGUGGUCUCCACCAUAAAUGUAUUGUUUACUGAAUGUGCUGGUGGUCUCCACCAUAAAUGUAUUGUUUACUGAGUGUGCUGGUGGUCUCCAACAUAAAUGUAUUGUUUACUGAAUGUGCUGGUGGUCUCCACCAUAAAUGUAUUGUUUACUGAGUAAGCUGGUUGUCUCGACCAUGAAUGUAUUGUUUACUGAGUGUGCUGGUGGUCUCCACCAUAAAUGUAUUGUUUACUGAGUAAGCUGGUUGUCUCGAACAUGAAUGUAUUGUUUACUGGCUGUGCUGGUGGUCUCCACCAUAACUGUAUUGUUUACUGAGUAAGCUGGUUGUCUCGAACAUGAAUGUAUUGUUUACUGAGUGUGCUGGUGGUCUCCACCAUAAUUGUAUUGUUUUCUGAAUGUGCUGGUGGUUUCCACCAUAAAUGUAUUGUUUACUGAGUGUGCUGGUGGCCUCCAACAUACAUGUAUUGUUUACUGAGUGUGCUGGUGGUCUCCAACAUAAAUGUAUUGUUUACAGACUGUGUUGGUGGUCUCCACCAUAAAUGUAUUGUUUACGGAGUGUGUUGGUGGUCUCCAUCAUAAAUGUAUUGUUUUCUGAGUGUGCUGGUGGUCUCCAACAUAAAUGUAUUGUUUACUGAGUGUGCUGGUGGUCUCCACCAUAAAUGUAUUGUUUACAGAGUGUGUUGGUGGUCUCCAACAUAAAUGUAUUGUUUACUGAGUGCGCUGGUGGUCUCCAACAUAAAUGUAUUGUUUACUGAAUGUGCUGGUGGUCUCCACCAUAAAUGUAUUGUUUACUGAGUAAGCUGGUUGUCUCGAACAUGAAUGUAUUGUUUACUGAGUGUGCUGGUGGUCUCCACCAUAACUCUAUUGUUUUCUGAAUGUGCUGGUGGUUUCCACCAUAAAUGUAUUGUUUACUGAGUGUGCUGGUGGUCUCCAACAUACAUGUAUUGUUUACUGAGUGUGCUGGUGGUCUCCAACAUAAAUGUAUUGUUUACAGACUGUGUUGGUGGUCUCCACCAUAAAUGUAUUGUUUACUGAGUGUCCUGGUGGUCUCCACCAUAAAUGUAUUGUUUACUGAGUGUGCUGGUUGUCUCCACCAUAAAUGUAUUGUUUACUGAGUAUGCUGGUGGUCUCCAACAUAAAUGUAUUGUUUACAGACUGUGCUGGUGGUCUCCACCUUAAAUGUAUUGUUUACUGAGUGUGCUAGUGGCCUCCACCUUAAAUGUAUUGUUUACUGAGUGUGCUGGUGGUCUCCAACAUAAAUGUAUUGUUUACUGAGUGUGCUGGUGGUCUCGAACAUAAAUGUAUUGUUUACUGAGUGUGCUGGUGGUCUCAACCAUAAAUGUUUUGUUUACUGAGUGUGCUGGUGGUCUCCAACAUAAAUGUAUUGUUUACUGAGUGUGCUGGUGGUCUCCAACAUAAAUGUAUUGUUUACUGAAUGUGCUGGUGGUCUCCACCAUAAAUGUAUUGUUUACUGAGUAAGCUGGUUGUCUCAAACAUGAAUGUAUUGUUUACUGAGUGUGCUGGUGGUCUCCACCAUAACUGUAUUGUUUUCUGAAUGUGCUGGUGGUUUCCACCAUAAAUGUAUUGUUUACUGAGUGUGCUGGUGGCCUCCAACAUACAUGUAUUGUUUACUGAGUGUGCUGGUGGUCUCCAACAUAAAUGUAUUGUUUACUGAGUGUCCUGGUGGUUUCCAACAUAAAUGUAUUGUUUACUGAGUGUGCUGGUGGUCUCCACCAUAAAUGGAUUGUUUUCUGAGUAUGCUGGUGGUCUCCACCAUAAAUUUAUUUUUUACUGAGUGUGCUGGUAGUCUCCACCAUAAAUGUAUUGUUUACUGAGUGUGUUGGUGGUCUCCACUGAAAAAAUGUAUUGUUUACUGAGUGUGUCGGUGGUCUCCACAAUAAAUGUGUAAUUGGACUUAA